GCUAAUGCUGUGGCCAAUGUGUUUAAUACAGGCACCCCUGGACCAAUUCCUCCGCCGCCGGCAUUUGCGGACCCGCCUCGUCCUGGCACCCCUGGACCUAUUCCUCCGCCGCCGGCAUUCGCGGACCCGCCUCGUCUUGGUACCGGACAAGUUCCAGGACCAGGGCGCUAUGGCCCGGACAACCUGACUAGGG
Pseudophryne corroboree (corroboree frog) is the source of this 193-nucleotide long non-coding RNA. RefSeq lists it as uncharacterized. The transcript has 3 exons. The record is from RefSeq and is a predicted model, not a curated record. NCBI's taxonomy places the organism in Eukaryota, Metazoa, Chordata, Amphibia, Anura, Myobatrachidae.